AGGAAAAGAAACCAACAGGGAUUGCCCUAGUAACGGCGAGUGAAGCGGCAACAGCUCAAAUUUGAAAGCUAGCCUUCGGGUUCGCAUUGUAAUUUGUAGAGGAUGAUUUGGGGAAGCCGCCUGUCUAAGUUCCUUGGAACAGGACGUCAUAGAGGGUGAGAAUCCCGUAUGUGACAGGAAAUGGCACCCUAUGUAAAUCUCCUUCGACGAGUCGAGUUGUUUGGGAAUGCAGCUCUAAAUGGGAGGUAAAUUUCUUCUAAAGCUAAAUAUUGGCGAGAGACCGAUAGCGCACAAGUAGAGUGAUCGAAAGAUGAAAAGCACUUUGGAAAGAGAGUUAAAAAGCACGUGAAAUUGUUGAAAGGGAAGCGCUUGCAAUCAGACUUGUUUAAACUGUUCGGCCGGUCUUCUGACCGGUUUACUCAGUUUGGACAGGCCAGCAUCAGUUUCGGCGGCCGGAUAAAGGCUCUGGGAAUGUGGCCUCCACUUCGGUGGAGGUGUUAUAGCCCAGGGUGUAAUACGGCCCAGCCGGGACUGAGGUCCGCGCUUCGGCUAGGAUGCUGGCGUAAUGGUUGUAAGCGACCCGUCUA
Molecule: ribosomal RNA, 587 nt
Filed under: Aureobasidium pullulans
Lineage: Eukaryota; Fungi; Ascomycota; Dothideomycetes; Dothideales; Saccotheciaceae
Description: eukaryotic LSU rRNA
Rfam family: Eukaryotic large subunit ribosomal RNA
Source: RNAcentral